UACGUAGGGUGCAAGCGUUGUCCGGAAUUAUUGGGCGUAAAGAGCUCGUAGGCGGUUUGUCGCGUCGGCUGUGAAAACUCGGGGCUCAACCCCGAGCCUGCAGUCGAUACGGGCAAACUAGAGUGUGGUAGGGGAGACUGGAAUUCCUGGUGUAGCGGUGAAAUGCGCAGAUAUCAGGAGGAACACCGGUGGCGAAGGCGGGUCUCUGGGCCGAAACUGACGCUGAGGAGCGAAAGCGUGGGGAGCAAACAGG
Molecule: ribosomal RNA, 253 nt
Filed under: uncultured bacterium
Lineage: Bacteria
Description: partial 16S ribosomal RNA
Rfam family: Bacterial small subunit ribosomal RNA
Source: RNAcentral